RNAcentral lists this long non-coding RNA (3509 nucleotides) under Homo sapiens (human). RNAcentral describes it as "HSALNT0136329". The record is from RNAcentral. Lineage: Eukaryota; Metazoa; Chordata; Mammalia; Primates; Hominidae.
ACUCCCAUUUAAGUCCUUUUAUUUUUUACACUUUUAAAUAUAAUUGCUUUGAAUAUCAAGUGCUGUUAUAAUUUUUGUUUCAAGUAUCAAGUAUGACAUAUAAAACUCAAAUGGGGAUUGUCUAUUAAAAACUUCCUUUAGCAAGUCUUUAUAACUAUGUCUACUAGUGACACAUUCCUCAAGAGUGGUAUCCCUAACUGCCAUUAGGGGGUGUUAAACGACGACUCUUUCUGGCUACUUCCCGCUGAAAAGAAGUGUUGUGCUGGGAACAGCACUUAGGGCUCCUCCUGGGGUCGAUCUAUGGGUCCUCAGAAGAAAGGUGUGUCCGUAGGUGGUUCUGUCUGCAGCACCAUUUGGAGUUUGCUUCUAGAUGAAAAGAGAUAAAUUUUACAAGAAAGUUUAGAAUAUAGGGUUUGAAUAUAAGUAUUAAGAUUACCAUUAUUAGUGGGGGUACUAUAGGCCAUAACCAUAACAGUAGAGUUUGAUACCUGUUAGCUAUUCUAAUGGAUUGUAAUACUUGUUUGCCUCCACCAAAUGUUGCUGUACUUUACCAGAAACGUUAAGAUAAAAAUAACAUUCUUUAGCCAGACACAGUGGCUCAUGCCUGUAAUCCCAGCAUUUUGGGAGGCCAAGGCAGGCAGACCACCUGAGGUCAGGAGUUCAAGACCAGCCUGGCCAACAUGGUGAAACCCCGUUUCUACAAAAAUACAAAAAUCAGCCAAGCAUGAUGGUGGGUGCCUGUAAUCCCAGCUACUCAGGAGGCUGAGGCAGGAGAAUUGCUUGAAUCGGGGAGUGAGCCAAGAUUGAGCCAUUGCACUCCAGCCUGAGCAACAGAGUGAGACUCCAUCUCAAAAAAAAAAAAAAAAAAAACAUUCUUUUUAGGAUAAAUGGCAUUAAAUUUGGGUGGCUAAAGUAACUUUAGUGUUAACCUUGGCUAAAUUUUUCCAGCAAUUAUCAAUCCUUUCACAAUUUCCACAGACCAUUUAUGACAUGCUUAAACUUUCUUAGUAGUCCUAAACACCCCUUUUUUAAACAACCAGUUAUUUCCUUUUAGGACAAGAAUUUACCAUCCAAGAUCCUUUCUUAUAUAAAAUCUUUUUUUUUUUUUUUUUGAGAUGGAGUCUCGCUCUGUCACCCAGGCUGGGGUGCAGUGGCACAAUCUCGGGUAACUGCAAACUCAGUCUCCCAGGUUCAAGCAAUUCUCUGCCUCAGCCUCUCAAGCAGCUGGGAUUACAGGUGCCCACCACCACACCCAGAAAUUUAUGAAAAAAAUUUGUAUUUUUCAUAAAGAGAUGGGGUUUCACUAUCUUGCCCAGCACUUUGGAAGGCCAAGGUGGAUAGAUCACCUGAGGUCAGGAGUUCAAGGCCAGUUUGACCAACAUGGAGAAACCACAUCUCUACUAAAAAUACAAAAUUAGCUGGGCAUGGUGGCAUAUGCCUGUAAUCCCAGCUACUCGGGACCAUCUUGGUCAGGCUGGUCUUGAACUCCUGACCUUGUGAUCCAGCCACCUUGGCCUCCCAAAGUGCUGAAAUUACAGGCGUGAGCCACUGCACCCAGCCAAAAUAUCCUUCCUUUAUGACCUUAAUUGAAUAGCUAGGGUGUGACAUAUUACCAAACCCAAUAAGAAGUCCUAGCUAACUUAGUGAUAGUAAAAUUUUCAUGUUUACUUCCUGUCAGUAACUAUUAUCCCUGCUAUAAGGAUAAUAAUUCCACAAAAUAUUACAGUAGUUGAGGCUCUUUAUCCAAUAUUCCACUCUGGGGUUGCUACAAUAUAUAAUCCUUCUGUAAAUAGUAGAGUGAGUAUAUAAUUCUGCAAGGGUGGUGUAGUAGAUAAUUUCCAUCAAAAAGUUUUACUUGCCAAGACAUAGAAUUUCUCUUUGGGGGUCUAUGAAGUUAUAAAUGUAAUCCCAAGGAUAACUAAAAUCUUUCUGCAAAAAUGCAUUAAAAAGAAGUUCUAAUAUCUGGUGGCAAAUCUAAAGAGAAACAUAAAAAUGACAAAGUAUUUGCUGAGGUAAAGGUGGGACUGAGUAAGAUGAGUAGCUCUCACUUAUCUUUUAUGAUUUGUAGCUUCAGAUAUCUUAUUUCUUCACAUUGAUAUUCAGGAUGUUCCUCUGGGCUGUCAGGGGUUGCUCCCACAGCUUUCCAGGCUUUGACUCCAGUGUGAUAAAUCCAGUAGUUGACACCUGUAACUUUUACCACUGAGGGGGCUGAAAGAAAAACAGUGUGGGGCCCUUCCCAGCUUGGGCUCAGGACAAAGAGAGAGAAGGGAGAGCCUUCACCAAUUCCAAAUCUCCAGAGUUUGGAGCUGGGAGUUAAAGGCCAGCUUGACCAACAUGGAGAAACCCCAUCUCUACUAAAAAUACAAAAUUAGCUGGGCAUGGUGGCACAUGCCUGUAAUCCCAGCUACUCGGGGGGCUGAAGAAGAAUCGCUUGAACCUGGGAGGCAGAAGUUGCGGUGAGCCGAGAUCGCACCAUUGCACUCCAGCCUGGGCAACAAGAGUGAAACUACGUCUUAAAAAAAACAAAAACAAAACAGAAAAACAGCUUUAUUACCUCGGAGGCCUUUUCUGUAUGGGGUGGAAAGGUUUCUAUGCAGUUAGUGAAAGUAUCUAUCCAUGCCAGGUGGUGUUGAAUGCCCUUCACCUUUGGCAUGUGGGUGAAGUCUAUCUGCCAGACCUCCCCUGGAAAGCUUCCCAUCCUUUGGGUUUGAGGAGAAAGCUGCUGCCUUCACAAGCAUUAACAACCUGUUUGACUGUUCUUAAUAAAUUCUUUCUUGAAAAUUUUUGGGCACACUGGUAAGUUUUACUCUUUCCUAAAUCAAAUGCCUGGUGGAUUUAAAAACUUUCCAUUGGCUGGAGGCUGGCAAGUGGAGUUUGCCAUCUUCUGACUGUAGCUGUUCUGAGGGCUGGAAAGUAUAUCCUCAAGAAGUGAUGCAUCCUAUUUCUGCAGGGGAGUACUGAGGUUUAAUUUCUCUUAUGGAGCCUUUCCAAAUUAGGGGGGCUUGAAGUAUGUUGAUGCGCUGAGGCUCCCCGCUAGAAGACAGUAAUCCUGCCACAUCAUAUGGGGUGUAAACAGUUAAGUCAUUUCCCAGGUUAAUUUGGUGGCUUUUAGGACCAGUAGGACCACCGUGGCAAUGGCUUGGAGGCAUUUGCAAAUAAUAGGUCCCCCCAAGUGCAACUAAGGGGUUGAGAAAAAUAUUAGAGUUUUUCCUGAGAUGUCCCACAUGGUGGUGCCACAAGAAGAGGGGAGGCCUGGAUUAGAGAGAGGAGAGAGAGGCUGACUCCAUUGUUUAGAAGGAGGUCUACCUGGCUGGAUGCAGCAGCUCACGCCUGUAAUCCUAGUACUUUGGGUGGCCAAGGUUGGCGGAUCACAAGGUCAGGAGAUUGAGACCAUCCUGGCUAACACAGUGAAACCCUGUCUCUACUAAAAAUACAAAAAAAAUUAGCUAGACGUGGUGGUGGGCACCUGUAGUCCCACCUACUCUGGCGGCUGAAGGGGGGAGAAUGGU